This 88-nucleotide transfer RNA is filed under the name Serratia marcescens. RNAcentral's name for it is "tRNA-Ile". The record is from RNAcentral. Lineage: Bacteria; Pseudomonadati; Pseudomonadota; Gammaproteobacteria; Enterobacterales; Yersiniaceae.
GCGACGCCUACAAGGCGGAAUACCUGCGUGCCGAAUUGGCGCGGCAGAUCGCCCAGCGGCUGGCGCCGUUCGACGCGCUGGUGGUGCC